This is a non-coding RNA of Camellia sinensis, 991 nucleotides long. Lineage: Eukaryota; Viridiplantae; Streptophyta; Magnoliopsida; Ericales; Theaceae. The record is from RefSeq and is a predicted model, not a curated record.
UUACAAUAUGAUACGUGGGCUGAUAUUUAAAACUUGGUCUGGUUUUCUUGUGGAUAUGGAAGACGCGGAGGAUGCAGAAGGAUUGAGUGAGUGGGAGCAAAUUCAAUCACCCUGGCACCCAACAUCUCCCACCACCACCACCACCUCCUCCGCCGCCAGCGGCAGCCCAACCACCACCCACUCAAUAGGAUUUGACGGCGGCUCGGUGGCGGUGAUAACUGACAACAACUACCUUCACAAUUCCUGUUCCAUUUUUCCUCCAACCGAACCGACCACGAGGGCUUGCCAAUAUCUCCACAGCACAACCACCAACCACCGCCACAAGCAUCCAGUUCGCCGCCGUUGGAAGGAGGGGAUGAGGUGGCGGCUGUGGCUCCGGUGAGAGCCGCGGGGGGGUCUGGGUGGAGAUUGAGGUCGCAUUUGGGGCUAUUAAGCUCCGGGAUUGUUCGUGUUGCUUUUGCGGUUCGUGAUUAUGCAGUGUGUAGAAGGGGUUUUUGGUCAUUUCUGUGCGUGGCCGGAGUUUUGGGGGUGUCGUUUUUGUACGGGAAGGUGUGGCGGUGGCGGCGGAGAUUCCGGCGAGAGAAUGAGGAGCGUUUGAUGCUACUAGUCAGAGAGAAAGAUGAGAAAAUCAGCCAACUCUGGCUACAAAUUGCCCAAAUGAAUGAGGUUCUCUCGGCCCGGCGCAGGGUUCUAGUGGUCAGAGUUGCUUGACUGACUAAUCACAUCAUUCCCAGCUCAAAAUUGAUCGAUCACACAUUGUGACCAUACUUAUUAAUUCACCCCUCUCUCUCUCUCUCUCUCUCUCUCUCUCUGUAAUGUGAUAUCAGCUUAUGAAGACUGAGCAAGAAGAGGUACAUACAUAUGCAGUAUUUGCAUUUGCUAGAUAUUGAUACAAAUUGGUGACUGCCUCUGUACCAAGCUUAUUUUCUUCCUUGUUCUUGUGAUGUGUACAAAAUAAGACAUCGAGCAAUAUGAUUUGCGAAUUCAUUCA